This 585-nucleotide ribosomal RNA is filed under the name uncultured bacterium. Its description in RNAcentral is "partial 16S ribosomal RNA". It matches the Rfam family "Bacterial small subunit ribosomal RNA", at positions 355 to 1375 of the family's 1533-position model. The record is from RNAcentral.
UGGGGAAUUUUGGACAAUGGGCGAAAGCCUGAUCCAGCAAUGCCGCGUGUGUGAAGAAGGCCUUCGGGUUGUAAAGCACUUUUGUCCGGAAAGAAAUCCUUGGCUCUAAUACAGUCGGGGGAUGACGGUACCGGAAGAAUAAGCACCGGCUAACUACGUGCCAGCAGCCGCGGUAAUACGUAGGGUGCAAGCGUUAAUCGGAAUUACUGGGCGUAAAGCGUGCGCAGGCGGUUUGCUAAGACCGAUGUGAAAUCCCCGGGCUCAACCUGGGAACUGCAUUGGUGACUGGCAGGCUAGAGUAUGGCAGAGGGGGGUAGAAUUCCACGUGUAGCAGUGAAAUGCGUAGAGAUGUGGAGGAAUACCGAUGGCGAAGGCAGCCCCCUGGGCCAAUACUGACGCUCAUGCACGAAAGCGUGGGGAGCAAACAGGAUUAGAUACCCUGGGUAGUCCACGCCCUAAACGAUGUCAACUAGUUGUUGGGGAUUCAUUUCCUUAGUAACGUAGCUAACGCGUGAAGUUGACCGCCUGGGGAGUACGGUCGCAAGAUUAAACUUAAAUGAAUUGACGGGGUCAUAGCUGUUUCCU